UCCUGGUUCCCCAGGCAGUCUCGCUAGAGUGCCUCACAAAGAAUGGCAACUAACGACAGGGGUUGCGCUCGUUAAAGGACUUAACCCAACAUCUCACGACACGAGCUGACGACAGCCAUGCAGCACCUGUUCACAUGUUCGAGCAAGCCCGAAAAAUCCCCUUUCAGGAACAGUCAUGUGUAUGUCAAGCCUAGGUAAGGUUCCUCGCGGAGUGUCGAAUUAAACCACAUGUUCCACCGCUUGUGCGGGCCCCCGUCAAUUCCUUUAAGUUUUAAUCUUGCGACCGUACUCCCCAGGCGGAUCACUUAACGCGUUAGCUUCGACACACAGCUCCCGAAGGAGCCGCACAUCUAGUGAUCAUCGUUUACGGCGUGGACUAC
Molecule: unclassified non-coding RNA, 380 nt
Filed under: uncultured bacterium
Lineage: Bacteria
Description: contains 16S-23S intergenic spacer region
Source: RNAcentral